UACGGAAGAUGCGAGCGUUAUCCGGAUUUAUUGGGUUUAAAGGGAGCGUAGGCGGGCUUUUAAGCCAGCUGUGAAAGUUUGCGGCUCAACCGUAAAAUUGCAGUUGGAACUGGGAGUCUUGAGUGUGCAUAAGGUGGAUGGAAUUCGUGGUGUAGCGGUGAAAUGCUUAGAUAUCACGAAGAACUCCGAUUGCGAAGGCAGUCCACUGGGGCACUACUGACGCUGAGGCUCGAAAGUGCGGGUAUCAAACAGG
RNAcentral lists this ribosomal RNA (253 nucleotides) under uncultured Bacteroidales bacterium. Its description in RNAcentral is "partial 16S ribosomal RNA". It matches the Rfam family "Bacterial small subunit ribosomal RNA", at positions 524 to 776 of the family's 1533-position model. The record is from RNAcentral. Lineage: Bacteria; Pseudomonadati; Bacteroidota; Bacteroidia; Bacteroidales.